Molecule: ribosomal RNA, 1660 nt
Filed under: Salmonella enterica
Lineage: Bacteria; Pseudomonadati; Pseudomonadota; Gammaproteobacteria; Enterobacterales; Enterobacteriaceae
Also listed under: 1 other name
Description: partial 23S ribosomal RNA
Rfam family: Bacterial large subunit ribosomal RNA
Source: RNAcentral
CCCGAGGAAAAGAAAUCAACCGAGAUUCCCCCAGUAGCGGCGAGCGAACGGGGAGGAGCCCAGAGCCUGAAUCAGCAUGUGUGUUAGUGGAAGCGUCUGGAAAGGCGCGCGAUACAGGGUGACAGCCCCGUACACAAAAGCGCAUGUGCUGUGAGCUCGAUGAGUAGGGCGGGACACGUGGUAUCCUGUCUGAAUAUGGGGGGACCAUCCUCCAAGGCUAAAUACUCCUGACUGACCGAUAGUGAACCAGUACCGUGAGGGAAAGGCGAAAAGAACCCCGGCGAGGGGAGUGAAAAAGAACCUGAAACCGUGUACGUACAAGCAGUGGGAGCACAGGUUUACCUGUGUGACUGCGUACCUUUUGUAUAAUGGGUCAGCGACUUAUAUUCUGUAGCAAGGUUAACCGUAUAGGGGAGCCGGAGGGAAACCGAGUCUUAACCGGGCGUUAAGUUGCAGGGUAUAGACCCGAAACCCGGUGAUCUAGCCAUGGGCAGGUUGAAGGUUGGGUAACACUAACUGGAGGACCGAACCGACUAAUGUUGAAAAAUUAGCGGAUGACCUGUGGCUGGGGGUGAAAGGCCAAUCAAACCGGGAGAUAGCUGGUUCUCCCCGAAAGCUAUUUAGGUAGCGCCUCGUGAAUUCAUCUCCGGGGGUAGAGCACUGUUUCGGCUAGGGGGCCAUCCCGGCUUACCAACCCGAUGCAAACUGCGAAUACCGGAGAAUGUUAUCACGGGAGACACACGGCGGGUGCUAACGUCCGUCGUGAAGAGGGAAACAACCCAGACCGCCAGCUAAGGUCCCAAAGUCAUGGUUAAGUGGGAAACGAUGUGGGAAGGCCCAGACAGCCAGGAUGUUGGCUUAGAAGCAGCCAUCAUUUAAAGAAAGCGUAAUAGCUCACUGGUCGAGUCGGCCUGCGCGGAAGAUGUAACGGGGCUAAACCAUGCACCGAAGCUGCGGCAGCGACACUCAGGUGUUGUUGGGUAGGGGAGCGUUCUGUAAGCCUGUGAAGGUGGCCUGUGAGGGUUGCUGGAGGUAUCAGAAGUGCGAAUGCUGACAUAAGUAACGAUAAAGCGGGUGAAAAGCCCGCUCGCCGGAAGACCAAGGGUUCCUGUCCAACGUUAAUCGGGGCAGGGUGAGUCGACCCCUAAGGCGAGGCCGAAAGGCGUAGUCGAUGGGAAACGGGUUAAUAUUCCCGUACUUGGUGUUACUGCGAAGGGGGGACGGAGAAGGCUAUGUUGGCCGGGCGACGGUUGUCCCGGUUUAAGCGUGUAGGUGUGUGUUCCAGGUAAAUCCGGUUCACUUUAACACUGAGGCGUGACGACGAGGCACUACGGUGCUGAAGCAACAAAUGCCCUGCUUCCAGGAAAAGCCUCUAAGCAUCAGGUAACAUCAAAUCGUACCCCAAACCGACACAGGUGGUCAGGUAGAGAAUACCAAGGCGCUUGAGAGAACUCGGGUGAAGGAACUAGGCAAAAUGGUGCCGUAACUUCGGGAGAAGGCACGCUGACACGUAGGUGAAGUGAUUUACUCAUGGAGCUGAAGUCAGUCGAAGAUACCAGCUGGCUGCAACUGUUUAUUAAAAACACAGCACUGUGCAAACACGAAAGUGGACGUAUACGGUGUGACGCCUGCCCGGUGCCGGAAGGUUAAUUGAUGGGGU